ACUAGAUCUAGCCCACACUCCCCCCCCNNNNCCCCCCCCCAUCACAGACAAAUCAAAUAAAGCAUUCACCACCCAUUCAAAGUAUAGGAGAUAGAAAUCCAAAUCACUAGUGGCGCUAUAGAGAAAGUACCGUAAGGGAAAGAUGAAAGAUAUCCUAAAAGUAAAAAAAAGCAAAGCUUACCCCUUGUACCUUUUGCAUAAUGAAUUAACUAGUAGUAACUUAGCAAAGAGACCUUUAGUUAAACUACCCGAAACCAGACGAGCUACUUACGAACAGUACCUAGAACGAACUCAUCUAUGUGGCAAAAUAGUGAGAAGAUUUGUAAGUAGAGGUGAAAAGCCUAACGAGCCUGGUGAUAGCUGGUUGUCCAAGAAAAGAAUCUCAGUUCAACAUUAAACAGUACCAAGAACCCCCUGAAGUUCCAAUGUAUGUUUAACUGUUAGUCUAAAAAGGUACAGCUUUUUAGAAAUGGGUACAACCUUAACUAGAGAGUAAAACAGACACACACAUGCCAUAGUUGGCUUAAAAGCAGCCAUCAAUUAAGAAAGCGUUCAAGCUCAACAAUAAAACUGUGUUAUAAUCCCAACAAUAACAAAUCAACUCCUAGUAUAAUUAUUGGACUAAUCUAUAUAAUUAUAGAAGCAAUACUGUUAACAUGAGUAACAAGAAAACUUUUUCUCCUCGCACAAGCUUACAUCAGUAACUGAUACUACACUGAUAGUUAACAGCCAAUAAAUAAAACCCAACGCCAAGCCAUUUAUUAAGCCCACUGUUAACCCAACACAGGCGUGCACCAAGGAAAGAUUAAAAAAAGUAAAAGGAACUCGGCAAACACAAACCUCGCCUGUUUACCAAAAACAUCACCUCUAGCAUAACCAGUAUUAGAGGCACUGCCUGCCCAGUGACUGAUAGUUAAACGGCCGCGGUAUCCUGACCGUGCAAAGGUAGCAUAAUCACUUGUUCUCUAAAUAAGGACUUGUAUGAACGGCCACACGAAGGUUUUACUGUCUCUUACUUUUAAUCAGUGAAAUUGACCUUCCCGUGAAGAGGCGGGAAUAACAAAACAAGACGAGAAGACCCUAUGGAGCUUCAAUUAAUCAACCCAAUAACCCACAACCUCAAACCACCAAGGGAUAAAAAAAACUUAUAUGGGUUGACAAUUUCGGUUGGGGUGACCUCGGAGCACAAAAACCCCUCCGAGUGAUUAAAGCCUAGGCCUACCAGCCAAAGCAUAACAUCACUUAUUGAUCCAAAGCUUUGAUCAACGGAACAAGUUACCCUAGGGAUAACAGCGCAAUCCUAUUCUAGAGUCCAUAUCGACAAUAGGGUUUACGACCUCGAUGUUGGAUCAGGACAUCCUAAUGGUGCAGCCGCUAUUAAGGGUUCGUUUGUUCAACGAUUAAAGUCCUACGUGAUCUGAGUUCAGACCGGAGCAAUCCAGGUCGGUUUCUAUCUGUUGCGCAUUUCUCCCAGUACGAAAGGACAAGAGAAAUAAGGCCAACUUUACACACGCGCCUUCAAAUAACUAAUGAUCUAAUCUUAAUUAAACAAACAAGCGCAAACUAACCCUGCCCAAGACCAGGGCAUU
This 1589-nucleotide ribosomal RNA is filed under the name Physeter macrocephalus (sperm whale). RNAcentral describes it as "Physeter catodon (sperm whale) 16S ribosomal RNA". It matches the Rfam family "Bacterial large subunit ribosomal RNA", at positions 274 to 2854 of the family's 2925-position model. Lineage: Eukaryota; Metazoa; Chordata; Mammalia; Artiodactyla; Physeteridae. The record is from RNAcentral.